Molecule: long non-coding RNA, 253 nt
Organism: Tupaia belangeri chinensis (Chinese tree shrew)
Lineage: Eukaryota; Metazoa; Chordata; Mammalia; Scandentia; Tupaiidae
Exons: 4
Source: RefSeq, a predicted model, not a curated record
GAUUUUGGUCUAUAACUCAAAGAAGCCUGUUUCCACCAAAAAUGGCGUGAUGGCAACUCUCAGAGGUGUAUACUUCUCAUUUUGGCCAUCACUGAGUGGACAGAAACUCAUCCAGCUCUCUAAUGGAAAUGACGCAAUUGAUCCUAGGGUAUGUCUGACUAUACUAAAUAGAGAUAGGGUCUGUAGUCUAUGUCGGCAUCACGUUUACAAGCAGAAGGCGGCUCUUCUGAUUACAAUCAUUACAGUACUGAAG